Molecule: transfer RNA, 56 nt
Filed under: Cavia porcellus (domestic guinea pig)
Lineage: Eukaryota; Metazoa; Chordata; Mammalia; Rodentia; Caviidae
Source: Rfam by way of RNAcentral
AGGGAUUUAGCUCAGCGGUUUGAGCACCUGCUUGGCAAACAUGAGUUCAAUCCCUG